CAAAAAGUAGCUUAAAAAAAGCAUUCAGCUUACAAUUGAAAGAUGUUAGAAC
This 52-nucleotide transfer RNA is filed under the name Leiocephalus barahonensis. RNAcentral describes it as "tRNA-Val". The record is from RNAcentral. Lineage: Eukaryota; Metazoa; Chordata; Lepidosauria; Squamata; Leiocephalidae.